AGGUUUUUAGUGGAAGAAGCAGUUUAUUAACAAGAGGUUUACAUCUACAUCAGUUUGUAAAGAUGAGAUAUAAUAAUCUUUACAAAUUGAUCUAGAUGUAAACCAAAUAAAGACGUCAGCAACGAAUUUUACAGUUCAUAAAACUGUUAAAUAUAACGAUGUAAAGUUGCGACCUAAUACACAUAUUACGAUGCAAAUAGAAGAUUCGAAUUAUUACACGAUUGUAAAUAUCAAUAUGCACAAAAGUAAUAUAAAUGUUACACAUAAUUCUAAUAAUGAUAUUCAGGAAAGACCUCAACAUAAUGAUACUAAUGUAUCUCAAACUAAGAAGGCAUAUCAACUAAAUACAACAAACACUAAAGGAUGUUCUUAAAAUCCUUUAAUGUUUGUUGUAUUUAGUUGAUAUGCCUUCAACGUCGCAGGUAUAAUAAUAUUACUAAUGAUAGUCCUGAUUAUUCUCUCGAGAAAGAAUUCUACAACAUCUAAUUCCUCUGCUCAAAGUUAUCAUAGUCGUAAUUGUCAAAAUGAUUUAAAUAAAGCUAGUAUUAACAAAGAAUGAUAGCAGUAAUAUAAGAGACACAAUUUACAAUAACGAUAAGAAUUUUCUUCAAAGAAAUAGGUUCCAGAAUAACAAAGACUCUUUGUUAUAACAGAUAAAAUAUCAAUAAACUAGAAUCGGAGUCUUGCAGCAAUACCUCAGUAAACGAUUAUUUAGCUUUUUAUAAAAAUACACAUUUGUCAAAAACAAAAUUUACAACUGUGGAAGUAAUACCGCUAAAUAAUGAUGAAUAUUGGAUAUAUAAGUUAGAAGUUGCAGAUGCAUGUAACGAUUUAAUGAUAAAGUUACAAGAGGUCGUAAAAACGUCACGUAAUAUGCAGCCAGUUAUCGAUGAAGUUUGUGGCGUGAUGUAUAACACUAUUUGGCGAAGAACUAGAAUAACAUCUUGAAUCCUACUAAGGUUCAUUUUAUUAAUUUUGGUAAUGAUGAGAUAAUAAAAAAAGAUAUUCAUCUCAAAGAUAUAAAAGAUCUGAUUAAAGUGCCUAAAUUUGCUAGAAAAAUUCGCUUGGUGCGAAUCACAAGAAAGCUGCGAGAAGACGAAAAGAUUUCUAUUAAAAAGUUGUUUGUAGAUUUUGAAAACACGACAAUAGUAGAAGUAAAACAAGGACAAUUGGAAAAUUUAUCUUCAUAUAUAACAAAAAAGUAUUUUAAAUAUUAGUUAAAUAAUACUUUUUGUUGUACAUGAAGAUAAAUUUUCUGCAGCAAAAAAGUUGUCGCAAAAAGUUUCUGAAACAUCAUCAGAUAAAAGUAUAAAAACUAAGAUUCAAAUACCUAACAUCUUAGAUGAUAUUACUAAUUCGAUGAAACAAAAAAAGAUUUCUAAGAUGCAAAUUGCUGGUUUGAUACAAAUCAACGAAUCAACGAAUCAACGCAAAAAAACAUUUACAGUGUAACUUUAUGUCCAACUUUAUAUCCAAUAUCAAGAUAAGAUUCAGAUGGUUUUCGAAGACUUGGAGGAAGAAUGCAAAAAAGUACAAACAUCUGUACAUUACAAGUAUGUAUAUUAGUUUUAUCUAUGUAUGCGCAUGUGUAUGUGUUGUGUAUACUUAUAUAUAUAUUUUAUGCUGAUGUAUUUUGAUAUAACAAAAUGUUUGUAAAUUACUGGUUUUUAUUAUUAAUUUUUUGAUAUUUUCUACUUUAAUACUGUUAUAUGUGAAGAUAAUAAUUAGAGGAAUUAGAUUAUAUGUAGUAAAAAAUUAUAGUUUUAUUUUAAAAAUGACAAUGAUUUUUCUAUAAUCAUGACAAAUUGUUUUCUUUUUUUUCGAAAAUUAAUUUUAUUUAAAAAAUUUUUAUUUUUUCUUUAGAUAAUAUAUCUUUUAAUUAAUCUUUCACAUACACUUAUUUUUUCAAUCUUUGUAUACACACUGGGUAGUUACCACCCACGGCAAUUUUCAAACGGCUGUAUAUCAUAAACAUAUUUAUUCUAAAAUUCUGAAAAAAUUCAUGGAUUAACUUUAAUGUUUAUAGAAAGUUAUUUACAUAUUUUUGGUAUUAAAAUUUAAGAAAUUUUAUGUUUAAAAAACUAUAUUUCGCGAUUUAAAAAAAUUGGUUUUUGCAGUUUUUUUCCAUUUAUUAUUUGAAAGGUAUACAGAGCGCUGAAUUUUUAUUUUUAGGUGAUAACCACCCAGUGUGUAUGCAAAGUGUUAAAAUACAACUUUGAUUUCAAACAUAUCUCUAUCUUUUGCACAUUUUUGAAAUUUUUGAAAUAUUUACUAGCAACAGUUAAAAUAUUGAACAUCUUGUGUAUACACACACACACACAAUUUUACACAUAAAUUUUUAUAUGUUAUAUAGAAUAUCUUUCAUUGAGCAUAGAAUAAUUAAUUUAUUUUUAGACCAAAAGCAGACGACUUAGUUUGCUUUAAUUAUUAUACUCGGCUAAUUGUAUUGAUCUUAAAUUUAUUUUUGAAAGCACGCGUUUAUGUACUGGCAUAUCUUUCUUACCUUUCUAAGGUUUUUGGUCGAGGUUUAAUAUAUAAAAAUAUCUAGUUAAAGUUAAGAAUUAUUAAUUUUCAUAAAAACUGAAGAUCGAACCGACCGCGAACGUAGCCGAGUGCGCGACGGCUCACGCCGAUCGCAGCCGAGCGCAUAUGCCUCACGGAUAGACGGAGUGCGAUGUGUGCGUGAGCGUGUCCGGGCUUGAAGCUUGAAAUCGCAUCACAGAUCACAUGAUCACAGCACUAUCUGUCUCUUUUCCGUUACUCGGCGACAGUCUGUGUUUGUAUUGCUGUACAAGAGGCGAUGCGCUUGUGCAGUCCAGUUACCAGUAGUAUGUUUAUGAUCUAAGCCAAGGUAAGGGAAUUGUUCGGACUCAUUCAGACUGGCUUUCACUGUCGUUGCGUAGUCGAAUUUUUUCAAUAAUCUUCCCAAUUACUUAAUUUGGAAAGUUUAAAUACCGAAAAAAAAAAUAGAUAUUGUGAUGAAAAAUUCAUGAUGUUUCAUAUAUAAGCAUUAAAGGGAAAGAAAACAGCUUGAAGGGAUAUAACCUAAAAACGUAAGGCAGAUAUAUGGACCAUUUCAAAAUUGCUGUCAGUACUGAAAAUCUAUAGUGUACAUAAUGGUAACAAUAGGAGCUUUCCAGCAAGUGACACAAAUUGACACAGUAUUUCUGUUUUUGUUUGAUAUUCAGUGAGAGACAAGGACAAAAUUACUGCUGUGUCAAUUACACUGUCUCUUGCUGGAAAGCGCCCAAUAUAUAGUAUGCUUUCCAGUAAGACACAAUGUAACAUAGUGUCCAUUAGUGUGAGAAAGAACAUAUCAGUGUGUUUCACUUACACUAGUGGACACUGUGUUACACUGUGUCUUGCUGGAAAGCACACAUAGAUUUUCAGUAUUGACAGCAAUUUUGAAACACAGCCUUAGUUUGGGGGGGUUCUAAUAAGAAGAAACAUUUUAUAUAGGAAAAU
RNA transcript from Monomorium pharaonis (pharaoh ant), 3465 nucleotides. It is a transcript of the gene named cysteine-rich PDZ-binding protein, with no coding region annotated. The transcript is spliced from 2 exons. The record is from RefSeq and is a predicted model, not a curated record. NCBI's taxonomy places the organism in Eukaryota, Metazoa, Arthropoda, Insecta, Hymenoptera, Formicidae.